AACAAACAAACAAACAAGGAAAAAAUAAUUUUAUAGAAACAGAGAAUUGAAUGAUCUUUUCCUGUAAGGAUUUGAGAACCCAGCAAAGAGAAAGAGUUAAGCCUGUUCUCCUAGUUGGCAGAAACUUUGUAGUUUAAAAUUACAUACUGACUCUGGUGUAGAGACACAAGAAAUUAUAGAGCAGACACUGUCCAGGACAACGUAUAAUUUACAAUGUACUAAAGAAUGUAUACCGCAUGGCAAAGCUUUGAUUGCCAAGAUUUCCAAGCAUGGAUAACUGAAGAAGUUUGCUUGACUUGACUUCAGCACAAAUGAAUUCUUUAAAAAAUGGUUUGGAUAGAUAUAGCCUCACAUACAGAAAAAUUUAACCAAUUUCAGAGAAUAAAUCAAUAGAGCAUGGCAGGAAAAGCCUAUGAGGUCUCUGCAACUAUGAGAACUUUUUAUAAAAAAUAUUGAAGUCAUUUUAAACCAUAGUUUACUUCAUUAUUGGUUUAGAGUAGGUAAUAUGGACUGAUUCUGUGCUAUUGUUUGCCUAGAUGACUAGAUUGUCAGUUUUAAUUAGCUUUUGUUUUUCUUAAAGGCUAAUUGCUUUUACAAAACUCAAGGUUUCUUGAUUGCUAAUGACAGGAGUAAUAAGUAAUAUGGUUACAUACUUUUAAAAGAAAAUUCACAAGCCUAUCUAA
Canis lupus familiaris (dog) is the source of this 683-nucleotide long non-coding RNA. RefSeq lists it as uncharacterized. NCBI's taxonomy places the organism in Eukaryota, Metazoa, Chordata, Mammalia, Carnivora, Canidae. The transcript has 3 exons. The record is from RefSeq and is a predicted model, not a curated record.